Molecule: ribosomal RNA, 225 nt
Filed under: uncultured bacterium
Lineage: Bacteria
Description: partial 16S ribosomal RNA
Rfam family: Bacterial small subunit ribosomal RNA
Source: RNAcentral
CAAAAAAUAAGUCUCAGUUCGGAUUGAAGGCUGAAAUUCGCCUUCAUGAAGCCGGAAUUGCUAGUAAUGGCAGGUCAGCAUACUGCCGUGAAUACGUUCCCGGGCCUUGUACACACCGCCCGUCACACCAUGAGAGUUGGAGAUACCCGAAGCCUAUGAGCUAACUUUUAGAGGCAGUAGUCGAAGGUAGAAUCAAUGAUUGGGGUGAAGUCGUAACAAGGUAGC